AAUGAACGUUGGCGGCGUGGAUUAGGCAUGCAAGUCGAGCGAGAACCCCGCAAGGGGGGACAGCGGCAAACGGGGUAGUAACGGGUAGGUGACGUACCCUCGGGUCGGGGAUAGCCACGGGAAACUGUGGGUAAUACCCGAUAAUCUCCCGGGUCAUCAUGAUCUGGGAGCAAAGGUGUGAUUCCACCGGAGGAGCGGCCUGCUUCGUAUUAGCUAGUUGGUGAGGUAAUGGCUCACCAAGGCGACGAUGCGUAGGGGGUGUGAGAGCAUGACCCCCACACUGGGACUGAGAUACUGCCCAGACACCUACGGGUGCAG
This 318-nucleotide ribosomal RNA is filed under the name uncultured Planctomycetota bacterium. Its description in RNAcentral is "bacterial SSU rRNA". It matches the Rfam family "Bacterial small subunit ribosomal RNA", at positions 29 to 351 of the family's 1533-position model. Lineage: Bacteria; Pseudomonadati; Planctomycetota. The record is from RNAcentral.